Molecule: transfer RNA, 76 nt
Filed under: Hygrophorus russula
Lineage: Eukaryota; Fungi; Basidiomycota; Agaricomycetes; Agaricales; Hygrophoraceae
Description: tRNA-Pro
Source: RNAcentral
AUGGUAGAUGACAAAGUUGGCUAGUCGCUCCCUUUGGGUGGGAGACAUAUAGCGUGUUCGAGUCGCGCCUACCAUA